AUUGAACGCUGGCGGCAGGCCUAACACAUGCAAGUCGAGCGGUAGCACAGAGAGCUUGCUCUCGGGUGACGAGCGGCGGACGGGUGAGUAAUGUCUGGGAAACUGCCUGAUGGAGGGGGAUAACUACUGGAAACGGUAGCUAAUACCGCAUAACGUCGCAAGACCAAAGUGGGGGACCUUCGGGCCUCAUGCCAUCAGAUGUGCCCAGAUGGGAUUAGCUAGUAGGUGGGGUAACGGCUCACCUAGGCGACGAUCCCUAGCUGGUCUGAGAGGAUGACCAGCCACACUGGAACUGAGACACGGUCCAGACUCCUACGGGAGGCAGCAGUGGGGAAUAUUGCACAAUGGGCGCAAGCCUGAUGCAGCCAUGCCGCGUGUGUGAAGAAGGCCUUCGGGUUGUAAAGCACUUUCAGCGGGGAAGAAGGCGGUGAGGUUAAUAACCUUGUCGAUUGACGUUACCCGCAGAAGAAGCACCGGCUAACUCCGUGCCAGCAGCCGCGGUAAUACGGAGGGUGCAAGCGUUAAUCGGAAUUACUGGGCGUAAAGCGCACGCAGGCGGUCUGUCAAGUCGGAUGUGAAAUCCCCGGGCUCAACCUGGGAACUGCAUUCGAAACUGGCAGGCUAGAGUCUUGUAGAGGGGGGUAGAAUUCCAGGUGUAGCGGUGAAAUGCGUAGAGAUCUGGAGGAAUACCGGUGGCGAAGGCGGCCCCCUGGACAAAGACUGACGCUCAGGUGCGAAAGCGUGGGGAGCAAACAGGAUUAGAUACCCUGGUAGUCCACGCCGUAAACGAUGUCGAUUUGGAGGUUGUGCCCUUGAGGCGUGGCUUCCGGAGCUAACGCGUUAAAUCGACCGCCUGGGGAGUACGGCCGCAAGGUUAAAACUCAAAUGAAUUGACGGGGGCCCGCACAAGCGGUGGAGCAUGUGGUUUAAUUCGAUGCAACGCGAAGAACCUUACCUGGUCUUGACAUCCACAGAACUUUCCAGAGAUGGAUUGGUGCCUUCGGGAACUGUGAGACAGGUGCUGCAUGGCUGUCGUCAGCUCGUGUUGUGAAAUGUUGGGUUAAGUCCCGCAACGAGCGCAACCCUUAUCCUUUGUUGCCAGCGGUUAGGCCGGGAACUCAAAGGAGACUGCCAGUGAUAAACUGGAGGAAGGUGGGGAUGACGUCAAGUCAUCAUGGCCCUUACGACCAGGGCUACACACGUGCUACAAUGGCAUAUACAAAGAGAAGCGACCUCGCGAGAGCAAGCGGACCUCAUAAAGUAUGUCGUAGUCCGGAUUGGAGUCUGCAACUCGACUCCAUGAAGUCGGAAUCGCUAGUAAUCGUAGAUCAGAAUGCUACGGUGAAUAAGUGUCCCGGGCCU
RNAcentral lists this ribosomal RNA (1362 nucleotides) under uncultured bacterium. RNAcentral's name for it is "bacterial SSU rRNA". It matches the Rfam family "Bacterial small subunit ribosomal RNA", at positions 28 to 1381 of the family's 1533-position model. The record is from RNAcentral.